UGGCGGCGUGCUUAACACAUGCAAGUCGUACGAGAACUCUUCUGCUUGCAGAAGAUAGUAAAGUGGCGCACGGGUGAGUAACGCGUGGGUAAUCUACCUCUGAAUCGGGGAUAACCCGCCGAAAGGCGAGCUAAUACCGGAUAAUAUCUUUAAAACUUAGGUUUUUAAGAUAAAAGGUGGUCUCUACAUGUAAGCUACUGUUUGGAGAUGAGCCCGCGUACCAUUAGCUUGUUGGUAGGGUAAUGGCCUACCAAGGCCGCGAUGGUUAGCUGGUCUGAGAGGAUGAUCAGCCACACUGGAACUGACACACGGUCCAGACUCCUACGGGAGGCAGCAGUGAGGAAUUUUGCGCAAUGGGGGAAACCCUGACGCAGCAACGCCGCGUGAGUGAUGAAGGCUUUCGGGUCGUAAAGCUCUGUCAAGUGGGAAGAACCUGCUCGAUGCUAAUACCAUCUAGCACUGACGGUACCACUAAAGGAAGCACCGGCUAACUCCGUG
Molecule: ribosomal RNA, 498 nt
Filed under: uncultured bacterium
Lineage: Bacteria
Description: bacterial SSU rRNA
Rfam family: Bacterial small subunit ribosomal RNA
Source: RNAcentral